CACGUAGGGGGCAAGCGUUGUCCGGAUUUAUUGGGCGUAAAGAGCUCGUAGGCGGCUUAGUAAGUUGGGUGUGAAACCUCCAGGCUCAACCUGGAGACGCCACCCGAUACUGCUGUGGCUAGAGUCCGGUAGGGGAGCGUGGAAUUCCUGGUGUAGCGGUGAAAUGCGCAGAUAUCAGGAGGAACACCAGCGGCGAAGGCGGCGCUCUGGGCCGGUACUGACGCUGAGGAGCGAAAGCGUGGGGAGCAAACAGG
This 254-nucleotide ribosomal RNA is filed under the name uncultured bacterium. Its description in RNAcentral is "partial 16S ribosomal RNA". It matches the Rfam family "Bacterial small subunit ribosomal RNA", at positions 524 to 776 of the family's 1533-position model. The record is from RNAcentral.